AUGAUUCUGGAGUGUUUGACUAGACAGCACUUGCAACUGAGCAUGUCAGGUAUGAAGGAGGUAUCUGGUCAGAGAUGGUGUUUUCUGAGGCUGCUUCCCGGAUCCCUAGGGGAUGUGUUCCUGCCAUUCAGCCUUUUUGGCAGUUAUUUCCACUUGUACAAGCAGACUUUUGUCACUUACCUGAGAAAGAAAGCCCACACCUGGAUUAAUAUUAAUAGAAAACACUCAUACAAAGAUAUUUUGUGGAAACUAAGAAGAGGAGUGUCACAUAGGAGAGCCCACUGCUGCAGUGAUGUCUUGGGUCUCUGUGCUCUGAAUCCCUGCUUGGCCAGCCUCCUGGAGGUGAGUGGUCUUGUUUUUCUCUCUUCUCUUUCCCAGCAGGCACUACCUUGACUGACUCCUCUUUCUUCUAUACUGGAGAUUACAGUUAUCCUCGCUUGAGCUUCUGCCUCCAUCUUGUUCACCCUGACCCCACGGGAUGUCAGUCUUGUGAUCCUUCAGAGUCACCCUCAUUCCUACACCAACCCCAAGCAGCUCAUCAGAGCGUAUCCCCCCAAAAACAGGGCUCUGGCUGCUCAAAGAGGAGUCCUGGCAAUUAGAGAUUUCUCCUUUUUAUUGCCUUACUCCCUGGAUCCUUACUUUUCCUCUCUGCUACAUCGGAUGGAGGGUAUUUAUCUUUGCCCGUCCACUUCUGUUCUAGCUCUUAACCUACACAGGUGCUUAAAAGCCACUUGAUUGGAUGAAUGAAUUAGAUAUUUUUCUUGCUGGAGUCUCUGUCAAGAUAGACUGAGGACCCCAAUUCCUACCUGAAAAGAACAUUUCUUGACCACUCUACCUGCCUUUCUCCCACGUCUUUGCCCUGGCUUCCUGAGGGGGCUUGUCUUAUCUAGACCUGAGGGGAAAAGGACAGAAAGAGAGUGAUUGGAAGGAUUAUUUUCUGAACAAUUCCCCUGCCUAGGAACCAAAGGAUGUGAGGUAGCAGGAGGGAGUCAUGAUCAGUAGAGGAGGAAAAUGGAGAAGCAAGAAAAUUCUUACAUAAAACUUUCAAACUUUAGGAGAGGAGAAACUUUAUAUUUCUUAUAUUGUGAAACCUUAGACACUAGAAGCUGUGAAAAGAAAUUUUCCAACUGAGUUUUAGCAGAAUCUAAAGACUGGUGAACCUUUAUGAAAAAAUAUGUUUGGUUGUAGCAGUGAAACUUAACAAGAAUAUAGGCUGCUCAUUAAAUACGCUGCCUGCCUGUGUUCAAAAUUGAAGGGUGUCUUUCUAAAGUUAUACCAUGCUUCAGUGUCAUUCCAAUGUAUUUUCUUAGUCCUUGACAUUUAAUUAUUCACAACUGCUUUUUACUGCCUCAUUUAUAUUACCAUCAUGAAUGUAAUAUUAUCAUGCAAUUAAAUGGCAUAAUAUCUUGCAAAACUCACUGUCUGCCAAGUAGGUUCUAGAUACUGGUUAAAACAGUUGAGUUGGCAAUCAAUGGAACAUUAAAGUAUUUUAUGGGAAUUAAGAAACACAAGAUAUAUUGAAUUUCAAUGGCUGCUAGCUGAAUCCUCUAACUCCUUUGUAAAGCUUGUUAGCCCAGUAUCCAAAUUAAGUCUCCAGCUCUAAAGUCAGACUUCAGAAGCAAAAUCACAUCAGCUGCACUUAAGAAAAACAAGAGGAGAAAAUAAGAGGUAAAGCAAAUUCAAGUAGGUCAGCUUGAAAUCUUUAGGUGGUCUUUGAAUUUGUUUAAAAGAAAGAAGAAUUACAUUACACACAAAAGAAGGGGAUAAAGUAUAGUAUGUAAAUUUAAAAUGCUGCUUUUCAGGCUUCUGGUUUAUUAUCUGGCAGGUUGGAGCUCAGAAGUCUCCACUUUGUUCUAAUAACAAGUGAAAAACUGACUUUAUCAUAGGAUGUUUUUCUCUCCACACACCUUGCCAUUGCAGUACUAAAUGUCUGUUCACCUCAGUUCCUGUACCAAGUAUACCAUGUCCACCUUGCAACAAAAAUUACAGGGCAUACUACAAGGAAAAAAACACAGUUUGAAGAAACUGAACAAGUACCAGAAUCAGAGUCUGAUAUGGCAGGAAUGUUAGAAUUAUCAGCCCGGAAACUUUACAAAUAUGUACAUAAGUAAUAUGCUAAGGGUAUUAAUGAAAAAGUACAUAACAUGCAAGAACAGAUGGAUAAUAUAAGCUGAGGAAAGAUCUUUGAGUAUAUAACAAUAGAAACUGCCAAAACUCAAAAGCAAACAGAAAAAAAAGACUGGGGAAAAAAAAAGAACAGAGUGUCUAAGAACUGUGAGACAACUACAAAAUGUGUAUCAAGGGGCAGAGGGAGGAAUUAAGAAUAUUUUGUUAUUAUAAAACACAUGCACUUUGUGAAGUGCUAUGGUGUUAUCAGAAGGUGGACUUGGAGUAGUUGUAAAUGUAUAUCGAAAACUCUAGGGCAACCAUUAAACAAGUAAAAGAAAUACAGCACACUUAGUGGUGAGAAACUCAAAACUUUCCCUGUAGGAUCAGGAACAAAGCAAAGAAUGUUACCGCUUUUUUUUUUUAACAUUGCACUGAAAGUACAGCUAAUGUAAUAAGACAGGAAAAAAAAACACAAAAAGUAUACACAUUGGUAAGAAAAAAAAUACAACUGUCUUUGCAGAGUAUAAUCCUCUCUGUAGAAAAUCUAAAAGAUUUGGCAAGAAAAUUCUUGGAGUAAGCAAUUAUAGUAAGGUUUCAGGAUUCAAGGUUAAUAUACAAAAGUCAAUUGCAUUUCUAUAUACCAGCAAUGAACAAGUAAAAUUUGAAAUUAAAAACACAAUACCAUUUACAUUAGUACCCUGAACAUUGAAAAUAGCAAAAAUCCAACAAAUUAUAUGUAAGAUCUAUACAAGAAAACUUACAAGACUCAUGAAAGAUAUGAAAGAGCUAAAUAAAUGGAGAGAUAUUCCCUAUUUAUGAAUGAAGAGUCAACAUUGUCAAGAUGUCAGUUCUUCCCAACUCAUCUAUAGAUUAAAUGAAAUCUAGAUAAAAAUCUCA
Molecule: long non-coding RNA, 3006 nt
Organism: Macaca nemestrina (pig-tailed macaque)
Lineage: Eukaryota; Metazoa; Chordata; Mammalia; Primates; Cercopithecidae
Source: Ensembl